GAUGAACGCUGGCGGCGUGCCUAAUACAUGCAAGUUGUGCGGUAACAGAGAGAGCUUGCUCUCUGCUGACGAGCGGCGGACGGCAGAGUAACGCGUAGGAACAUACCCCAAACUGAGGGAUAACUGCUCGAAAGAGUAGCUAAUACCGCAUGUGGUCUUCGGAUUAAAAGCUUCGGCGGUUUGGGAGUGGCCUGCGUCCGAUUAGCUAGUUGGUGAGGUAAUUGCUCACCAAGGCGACGAUCGGUAGCUGGUCUGAGAGGAUGAUCAGCCUGACUGGAACUGAGAACGGUCCAGACUCCUACGGGAGGCAGCAGUAGGGAAUUUUCCACAAUGGGCGAAAGCCUGAUGGAGCAACGCCGCGUGCAGGAUGAAUGCCUUCGGGUUGUAAACUGCUUUUCUGUGUGAAGAAUAUGACGGUAACACAGGAAUAAGGGUACGGCUAACUACGUGCCAGCAGCCGCGGUAAU
Molecule: ribosomal RNA, 467 nt
Filed under: uncultured bacterium
Lineage: Bacteria
Description: bacterial SSU rRNA
Rfam family: Bacterial small subunit ribosomal RNA
Source: RNAcentral